GAGUUUGAUCCUGGCUCAGGACGAACGCUGGCGGCGUGCCUAAUACAUGCAAGUCGAACGAGAAGUUCUAAACAGAUAGUGCUUGCACUUGACGAUUAGAAAUUCGAGUGGCGGACGGGUGAGUAACACGUAGGUAACCUGCCCAAAAGAGGGGGAUAACACCUGGAAACAGACGCUAAUACCGCAUAACCAUGAUAGCCGCAUGGCUAUUAUGUAAAAGAUGGUUUUGCUAUCACUUUUGGAUGGACCUGCGGCGUAUUAGCCAGUUGGUAAGGUAAUGGCUUACCAAGGCAAUGAUACGUAGCCGAACUGAGAGGUUGAUCGGCCACAUUGGGACUGAGACACGGCCCAAACUCCUACGGGAGGCAGCAGUAGGGAAUCUUCCACAAUGGACGCAAGUCUGAUGGAGCAACGCCGCGUGAGCGAAGAAGGUCUUCGGAUCGUAAAGCUCUGUUGUUAGAGAAGAACAGCCAUGAGAGUAACUGCUCAAGGUUUGACGGUWUCUAACCAGAAAGCCACGGCUAACUACGUGCCAGCAGCCGCGGUAAUACGUAGGUGGCAAGCGUUGUCGGGAUUAUUGGGCGUAAAGGGAACGCAGGCGGUCUUCUAAGUCUGAUGUGAAAGCCCUCGGCUUAACCGAGGAAUUGCAUUGGAAACUGGGAGACUCGAGUGCAGAAGAGGAGAGUGGAACUCCAUGUGUAGCGGUGGAAUGCGUAGAUAUAUGGAAGAACACCAGUGGCGAAAGCGGCUCUCUGGUCUGUAACUGACGCUGAGGUUCGAAAGCGUGGGUAGCAAACAGGAUUAGAUACCCUGGUAGUCCACGCUGUAAACGAUGAAUACUAGGUGUGGGGGGACUGACCCCCUCCGUGCCGCAGUUAACACAAUAAGUAUUCCACCUGGGGAGUACGAUCGCAAGAUUGAAACUCAAAGGAAUUGACGGGGGCCCGCACAAGCAGUGGAUUAUGUGGUUUAAUUCGACGCAACGCGAAGAACCUUACCGAGGUUUGACAUCCCACUAACGAAGUAGAGAUACAUUAGGUGCCCUUCGGGGAAAGUGGAGACAGGUGGUGCAUGGUUGUCGUCAGCUCGUGUCGUGAGAUGUUGGGUUAAGUCCCGCAACGAGCGCAACCCCUAUUGUUAGUUGCUACGAAAGAGCACUCUAGCGAGACUGCCGUUGACAAAACSGAGGAAGGCGGGGACGACGUCAAAUCAUCAUGCCCCUUACGCCUCGGGCUACACACGUAAUACAAUGGCGGUCAACAGAGGGAAGCGAAUCGGCGACGAAGAGCGAAUCCCGAAAAGCCGUCCCAGUUCGGAUUGCAGUCUGCAACUCGACUGCAUGAAGUUGGAAUUGCUAGUAAUCGCGGAUCAGCAUGCCGCGGUGAAUACGUUCCCGGGCCUUGUACACACCGCCCGUCACACCAUGAGAGUCGGGAACACCCGAAGUCCGUAGUCUAACCGAAAGGAGGGCGCGGCCGAAGGUGGGUCUGAUAAUUGGGGUGAAGUCGUAACAAGGUAGCCGUAUCGGAAGGUGCGGCUGGAUCACCUCCUU
Molecule: ribosomal RNA, 1552 nt
Filed under: uncultured bacterium
Lineage: Bacteria
Description: partial 16S ribosomal RNA
Rfam family: Bacterial small subunit ribosomal RNA
Source: RNAcentral